GAAAUGCGAUACGUAGUGUGAAUUGCAGAAUUCCGUGAACCAUCGAAUCUUUGAACGCAAAUUGCGCUCGAGGCCUCGGCCAAGAGCAUGUCUGCCUCAGCGUCGGCUACUACCCUCAACUAAGUUUCCUAUCUGCAUAGGGGAUGCCGGUUGGAUCUGGCCGUCCGGUUUGCCUUUUAGGUUGCCGGUCAGCUGAAAUAUAUUCACGCUCUGGGGGCUGCUUUCCUUCCUAGGAGAGGCGAGUUCCGAUUUGGUAGGUGACCUUUGCCGGUUGCAUGCCUUCGUUGCCCGCUAAGCUUCCCAGUAUGCGUUGUGCAGGACGCCUUUUGGCUUUCGACCUGAGGUCAGGCAAGAACACCCGCUGAACUUAA
This 371-nucleotide unclassified non-coding RNA is filed under the name uncultured fungus. Its description in RNAcentral is "sequence contains ITS1". The stretch from base 1 to 105 matches the Rfam family "5.8S ribosomal RNA", at positions 50 to 154 of the family's 154-position model. The record is from RNAcentral. Lineage: Eukaryota; Fungi.